UUUCCGUAGGUGAACCUGCGGAAGGAUCAUUACAGAGUUCAUGCCCUCACGGGUAGAUCUCCCACCCUUGAAUAUUUAUACCUUAGUUGCUUUGGCAGGCCGUGGAAACACCAUGGGCUCCGGCUUAUGCGUGCCUGCCAGAGGAAACAAACUCUGUUUUCAGUGAUGUCUGAGUACUAUAUAAUAGUUAAAACUUUCAACAACGGAUCUCUUGGUUCCG
RNAcentral lists this unclassified non-coding RNA (220 nucleotides) under plant metagenome. Its description in RNAcentral is "partial contains small subunit ribosomal RNA, internal transcribed spacer 1, and 5.8S ribosomal RNA". The record is from RNAcentral.